GCGGAUGUAGCUCAGCUGGCUAGAGCACCACCUUGCCAAGGUGGGGGUCGCGAGUUCGAAUCUCGUCAUCCGCUCCA
Molecule: transfer RNA, 77 nt
Filed under: Auritidibacter ignavus
Lineage: Bacteria; Bacillati; Actinomycetota; Actinomycetes; Micrococcales; Micrococcaceae
Also listed under: 4 other names
Description: tRNA-Gly
Rfam family: tRNA
About the family: Transfer RNA (tRNA) molecules are approximately 80 nucleotides in length. Their secondary structure includes four short double-helical elements and three loops (D, anti-codon, and T loops).
Source: RNAcentral